This 420-nucleotide ribosomal RNA is filed under the name uncultured archaeon. RNAcentral describes it as "partial 16S ribosomal RNA". It matches the Rfam family "Archaeal small subunit ribosomal RNA", at positions 323 to 746 of the family's 1478-position model. The record is from RNAcentral.
CUACGGGAUGCAGCAGUUAAGGAUUUUUUGCAAUGCACGAAAGUGUGACAAAGCGAGUCAGAGUGUCUCUCUAUGAGAGACUUUUGUUAGCUCUAAAAAGGCUAACGAAUAAGGACUCGGCAAGACUGGUGCCAGCCGCCGCGGUAAUACCAGCAGUCCAAGUUGCAGCCAACAUUAUUGGGUCUAAAACAUCCGUAGCUUGUUAUGUAAGUCUCUUGUGAAAUCCUAUUCCUUAAGGAUAGGGCGUGCAAGAGAUACUUCAUAACUAGAGACCGGAGGAUGUGGGGAGUACAGUUAAGGUAGUGGUAAAAUAUGUUAAUCUUAACUGGACUAACAACAGCGAAGGCACCCCACAACGACGGAUCUGACAGUGAGGGAUGAAGGCUAGGGGCGCAAAACGGAUUAGAUACCCCAGUAGUC